GCUUUCGUAGGCUCAGCGGCUAGAGCGUACAACCGCAUGGUUGUGUAGUCGCCGGUUCGAAUCCGGCCGAACGCG
RNAcentral lists this transfer RNA (75 nucleotides) under Bifidobacterium aerophilum. Its description in RNAcentral is "tRNA-OTHER". It matches the Rfam family "tRNA". From Rfam's summary of the family: Transfer RNA (tRNA) molecules are approximately 80 nucleotides in length. The record is from RNAcentral. Lineage: Bacteria; Bacillati; Actinomycetota; Actinomycetes; Bifidobacteriales; Bifidobacteriaceae.